Mizuhopecten yessoensis (Yesso scallop) is the source of this 769-nucleotide long non-coding RNA. RefSeq lists it as uncharacterized. The transcript has 3 exons. The record is from RefSeq and is a predicted model, not a curated record. NCBI's taxonomy places the organism in Eukaryota, Metazoa, Mollusca, Bivalvia, Pectinida, Pectinidae.
AGUGCCUUCAGCUUUGUCUAUAGAAGAAAAAAGAUUGCUAGAGUCUUUGGACCGGCUUAAUGAGAAGUUAAAAAUUUCGGAGUUCCCCGGUUCAUUACCCCCUCAGCCUGCCAUGUCACAGGCUCCUCCUCCUCCACCUCACCACUUUUCCUAUACAAAUGGAUUCAAAGGCUCCAAACCCAUACUAUCACAACAGAGAGGGAAUACACGUGGCGGGUCAGCAGCCGUUCUGCGUCCAACAAAUAUACGUUUCUAAUGUAUUGAGCUGUAGCCAUGCUAUGCCUCACGGAAUUUGUUUAGAAAGUAUUAGUCAUGCUAUGCCAACCAAAACUAGGCUUCUAGUGGAUGAAGUUAUAUAUGCUGCUUGCUACUCUAAAAGGAUGUAUCUGUCUACAAUGUAUAUACACCCAAAUUAUGUACCUCUGUGAUGGUAUGUCCGACAAAUAGACACAGAAGGCGUGCUGUACCCAACAAAUAUGCACUUCUUAGUUAGAGGGUAUGGUACAGCCUACUAACAUACUCCUCUGUCAAAUGUAGAAGCAGUUGAAUGUAUGUGGCCAUGCUCUGCUCACAAAUGUACGUUUCUGAUGAAGAAGGUAUGCGGGCAUGCUACAUUCAACAAAUACAUUCCUACGUAAAAUACUAGAAUGUGUAAGCCAAGUCAAGAUAUGCCUCCACUAUCAAACUUCUUAAAUGAUGCUGUCCCGCUUUAUAUUGUGGACCCAGAGUGGAAGCAUAAUGGUAUUGAGUGAAUUAACCCUUUCACCCC